Molecule: small nuclear RNA, 106 nt
Filed under: Balaenoptera musculus (blue whale)
Lineage: Eukaryota; Metazoa; Chordata; Mammalia; Artiodactyla; Balaenopteridae
Source: RNAcentral
GUGCUUGCUUCAGCAGCACAAAUACUAAAACUGAAAUGAUACAGAGAAGAUUAGCAUGGUCCCUUCGCAAAGAGAUACACAAAUUUGUGAAACAUUCCAUAUUUUA